GGAGCACUAGCUCAGUCGGUAGAGCACCUGACUUUUAAUCAGGUUGUCGGGGGUUCGAAUCCCCCGUGCUUCA
Firmicutes bacterium CAG:24 is the source of this 73-nucleotide non-coding RNA. Lineage: Bacteria; Bacillati; Bacillota. The record is from Rfam.